CAUUUACCUGGAUGCCCAGUUUUCUGCAUACAACACCGGACUCCAAAAUUGAAAUAUCAGGAUCUCACAAAAAUUGGAGCCUGGCUGCAGGUGUGCCGCCAGGAUUGGAGCCUGACUGCAAAUGUGCCUCCAGAGAAACUAUCAAGUCUCCAGUUCUUCCUGUCACAAUGAUACCAGCUCUACAUCCAUACCCCAGCAGGAAGUAAUUACAGAAGACUGACCUUCAUCCAUGUACCC
Molecule: long non-coding RNA, 237 nt
Organism: Sciurus carolinensis (gray squirrel)
Lineage: Eukaryota; Metazoa; Chordata; Mammalia; Rodentia; Sciuridae
Exons: 2
Source: RefSeq, a predicted model, not a curated record